Molecule: ribosomal RNA, 434 nt
Filed under: uncultured bacterium
Lineage: Bacteria
Description: partial 16S ribosomal RNA
Rfam family: Bacterial small subunit ribosomal RNA
Source: RNAcentral
AGCGAACGCUGGCGGCAGGCCUAACACAUGCAAGUCGAACGAACCUUUCGGGGUUAGUGGCGGACGGGUGAGUAACACGUGGGAACGUGCCUUUAGGUUCGGAAUAACUCAGGGAAACGUGUGCUAAUACCGAAUGUGCCCUUCGGGGGAAAGAUUAAUCGCCUUUAGAGCGGCCCGCGUCUGAUUAGCUAGUUGGUUGAGGUAAUGGCUCACCAAGGCGACGAUCAGUAGCUGGUAUGAGAGGAUGAUCAGCCACUUUGGGACUGAGACACGGCCCAAACUCCUACGGGAGGCAGCAGUGGGGAAUCUUGCGCAAUGGGCGAAAGCCUGACGCAGCCAUGCCGCGUGAAUGAUGAAGGUCUUAGGAUUGUAAGAUUCUUUCACCGGGGACGAUAAUGACGGUACCCGGAGAAGAAGCCCCGGCUAACUUCGUG